AGCUUUACUGUAGCCUGAUAUUGAAAUUCGGCACAGCUUGUACAGGAUAGGUAGGAGCCUUUGAAACGUGAGCGCUAGCUUACGUGGAGGCGCUGGUGGGAUACUACCCUAGCUGUGUUGGCUUUCUAACCCGCACCACUUAUCGUGGUGGGAGACAGUGUCAGGCGGGCAGUUUGACUGGGGCGGUCGCCUCCUAAAAGGUAACGGAGGCGCUCAAAGGUUCCCUCAGAAUGGUUGGAAAUCAUUCAUAGAGUGUAAAGGCAUA
RNAcentral lists this ribosomal RNA (265 nucleotides) under Staphylococcus aureus. RNAcentral describes it as "partial 23S ribosomal RNA". It matches the Rfam family "Bacterial large subunit ribosomal RNA", at positions 2097 to 2361 of the family's 2925-position model. Lineage: Bacteria; Bacillati; Bacillota; Bacilli; Caryophanales; Staphylococcaceae. The record is from RNAcentral.